GUGGGGGAUAUUGCGCAAUGGGGGGAACCCUGACGCAGCAACGCCGCGUGAUGGAAGAAGGCCUUCGGGUUGUAAACAUCUGUUGCAAGGGAAGAAAAAAAUGACGGUACCUUGUGAGGAAGCCACGGCUAACUACGUGCCAGCAGCCGCGGUAAUACGUAGGUGGCGAGCGUUGUCCGGAUUUACUGGGUGUAAAGGGCGCGUAGGCGGGUUAGCAAGUCAGUCGUGAAAUACCGAGGCUCAACUUCGGGGCUGCGAUUGAAACUGAUAAUCUUGAGUGUCGGAGAGGAAAGCGGAAUUCCUAGUGUAGCGGUGAAAUGCGUAGAUAUUAGGAGGAACACCAGUGGCGAAGGCGGCGUUCUGGACGAUAACUGACGCUGAGGCGCGAAAGUGUGGGGAGCAAACAGGA
This 409-nucleotide ribosomal RNA is filed under the name uncultured bacterium. RNAcentral's name for it is "bacterial SSU rRNA". It matches the Rfam family "Bacterial small subunit ribosomal RNA", at positions 354 to 777 of the family's 1533-position model. The record is from RNAcentral.